This 1399-nucleotide unclassified non-coding RNA is filed under the name Hevea brasiliensis (rubber tree). The record is from RNAcentral. Lineage: Eukaryota; Viridiplantae; Streptophyta; Magnoliopsida; Malpighiales; Euphorbiaceae.
AUUAAUUUUGAGAAUUUUUAUUGAGUCUUAUGAUUCGAUCCGAUUCUCGAUUCACAAAAUUAAGAUUUUGAUUCUCGAUUCGAAUCUCGAUUUGCCAACUAUGUUUACAAUAUCAUUUGAAUUGGAAGGUGACAAAUAAAUUUAAAGCCGUAUUUAUGUCACCUUACUUAAGUAAAAUUUUUCUAAUAUAUAGUUCCAUAGGCUACAAAAUUAUUAUUUUUUAUGAUCACAUAAAAAUUUGCAUAAAUUUUACAAAAACUUAGUAAAAGUGAUCUAGUGAAACAAAAUGAAAGUUAAGUAGUUUGCUUAUACAAAUUGAAAUUUAUUGUUCAUUUUAAAACUUGAUGAUAUGUUUAGUGCACAUGAGUGAAACUAACCCUUAUUAUUAUCCCCACUCAAUUAACUUAAACCUCGUUUGUUGACAUGUGCCUUUUCAUUAGAAAUUUAUUUAUCAAGAAGUAGCAUUUACUGGAAGUUGCUAGAAAAUUGUAUUUCUUAAUGUUUGGGUCCUCCACUUUCUCAAUAAUUUUGCAUUUGAUUCAUUUACUAAUUUACUAGGAGGUAUAUUAGCAAUUAGAUCUGUGCUAAUUAGUUAAAACUUAUUUUGGGGGUAGUAUUUGAAUUUAGUGCAGAAAAUUUUCUCUCACUUCCAUACAAGAAUUUGAACUAACUAACCCUUUUAGUUACUUCAGUAGAAUCAAUGAAGCUGAGUGAUAAAAACAAAAAUUAAGACUUCACUUUAACUUCGUAUUUAGGCCUUGUACUGCAUUACAAUUUGAGAAGUUGAGUGAUAAAAAAGAAAUACAUUUUAACCAAUGACUUUGUAUUUCUAAGCCUUAGACUACAUGGUAGGUGGUGUCGUUAAACAAAACUUACCACCAAGCACGUUGGGAUUUGAACUUCGAAGGAUAACUUUGAAACAUUAGGUUAUCCCCUUGGUUUUGAACAUACGAGGCGGACCAAUAUAGGAUUAUAUUCUUUAUUGAUUUGGGAAUUGUCACUUUAAUCAUUUAGAAUAUAGCGAGUCUUGUACCUUCUUUGUUAUUUGGGUACUCAUGCAUUGUUGUAAUGGUCUCCCUUCUGUUGGUACUAAUGUUUAAUGGUUUGCCUUCAUCAGAUUGCAAGACAUUCAGGGAAAUGUUUCAAGAAGUAGCUGAAUUCCAAAAAACAAAGGAGGAAAAUAAAGAUGCAACUGCUGCUGCUGAUGCCUUUAAUAAGUUGAGCGUUGAAGAAAAGAAAACUGAGGAGACAACUGAAGAAGAGGUGCCAGCUGAAGCUGAGGAGGCAGCAACUAAGGCUGAUGCAGAGAAUAAAGUUAAGGAGCCUCCUUCCUCAACCUGAGAAUGUUGGUUCCAUACUUUGGCAAUAUGAUGAGGUCUACCCCAAUUCUCGCCCCAUU